Molecule: ribosomal RNA, 468 nt
Filed under: uncultured bacterium
Lineage: Bacteria
Description: partial 16S ribosomal RNA
Rfam family: Bacterial small subunit ribosomal RNA
Source: RNAcentral
GACGAACGCUGGCGGCGUGCUUAACACAUGCAAGUCGAACGGAAAGGCCCUGCUUUUGUGGGGUGCUCGAGUGGCGAACGGGUGAGUAACACGUGAGUAACCUGCCCUUGACUUUGGGAUAACUUCAGGAAACUGGGGCUAACACCGGAUAGGAGCUCCUGCUGCAUGGUGGGGGUUGGAAAGUUUCGGCGGUUGGGGAUGGACUCGCGGCUUAUCAGCUUGUUGGUGGGGUAGUGGCUUACCAAGGCUUUGACGGGUAGCCGGCCUGAGAGGGUGACCGGCCACAUUGGGACUGAGAUACGGCCCAGACUCCUACGGGAGGCAGCAGUGGGGAAUAUUGCACAAUGGGCGGAAGCUUGAUGCAGCAACGCCGCGUGCGGGAUGACGGCCUUCGGGUUGUAAACCGCUUUCGCCUGUGACGAAGCGUGAGUGACGGUAAUGGGUAAAGAAGCACCGGCUAACUACGUG